GACGAAUGCUGGCGGCGUGCUUAACACAUGCAAGUCGAACGGAAAGGCCCUGCUUGCAGGGUACUCGAGUGGCGAACGGGUGAGUAACACGUGGGUGAUCUGCCCUGCACUUCGGGAUAAGCCUGGGAAACUGGGUCUAAUACCGGAUAGGAGCCAUUUUUAGUGUGAUGGUUGGAAAGUUUUUUCGGUGUAGGAUGAGCUCGCGGCCUAUCAGCUUGUUGGUGGGGUAAUGGCCUACCAAGGCGGCGACGGGUAGCCGGCCUGAGAGGGUGGACGGCCACAUUGGGACUGAGAUACGGCCCAGACUCCUACGGGAGGCAGCAGUGGGGAAUAUUGCACAAUGGGCGCAAGCCUGAUGCAGCGACGCCGCGUGGGGGAUGACGGCCUUCGGGUUGUAAACUCCUUUCGCUAGGGAUGAAGCUUUUGUGACGGUACCUAGAUAAGAAGCACCGGCUAACUACGUG
This 464-nucleotide ribosomal RNA is filed under the name uncultured bacterium. RNAcentral describes it as "partial 16S ribosomal RNA". It matches the Rfam family "Bacterial small subunit ribosomal RNA", at positions 28 to 507 of the family's 1533-position model. The record is from RNAcentral.